GACGAACGCUGGCGGCGUGCCUAAUACAUGCAAGUAGAACGCACAGUUUAUACCGUAGCUUGCUACACCAUAGACUGUGAGUUGCGAACGGGUGAGUAACACGUAGGUAACCUGCCUGGUAGCGGGGGAUAACUAUUGGAAACGAUAGCUAAUACCGCAUAAUAUUGAUUAUUGCAUGAUAAUUAAUUGAAAGGUGCAAUUGCACCACUACCAGAUGGACCUGCGUUGUAUUAGCUAGUAGGUGAGGUAACGGCUCACCUAGGCGACGAUACAUAGCCGACCUGAGAGGGUGAUCGGCCACACUGGGACUGAGACACGGCCCAGACUCCUACGGGAGGCAGCAGUAGGGAAUCUUCGGCAAUGGACGAAAGUCUGACCGAGCAACGCCGCGUGAGUGAAGAAGGUUUUCGGAUCGUAAAGCUCUGUUGUAAGAGAAGAACGGGUGUGAGAGUGGAAAGUUCACACUGUGACGGUAUCUUACCAGAAAGGGACGGCUAACUACGUG
This 505-nucleotide ribosomal RNA is filed under the name uncultured bacterium. Its description in RNAcentral is "partial 16S ribosomal RNA". It matches the Rfam family "Bacterial small subunit ribosomal RNA", at positions 28 to 507 of the family's 1533-position model. The record is from RNAcentral.